Molecule: ribosomal RNA, 396 nt
Filed under: uncultured bacterium
Lineage: Bacteria
Description: partial 16S ribosomal RNA
Rfam family: Bacterial small subunit ribosomal RNA
Source: RNAcentral
AUACGUAGGGGGCAAGCGUUAUCCGGAUUUACUGGGUGUAAAGGGAGCGUAGACGGAAGAUCAAGUCAGGUGUGAAAGGCAUGGGCUCAACCCGUGGACUGCACUUGAAACUGGUCAUCUUGAGUGUCGGAGGGGCAGGCGGAAUUCCUGGUGUAGCGGUGAAAUGCGUAGAUAUCAGGAAGAACACCGGUGGCGAAGGCGGCCUGCUGGACGAUCACUGACGUUGAGGCUCGAAGGCGUGGGGAGCAAACAGGAUUAGAUACCCUGGUAGUCCACGCAGUAAACGAUGAAUACUAGGUGCUGGGUCCCAGAGGAAUUCGGUGCCGCCGCUAACGCAUUAAGUAUUCCACCUGGGGAGUACGUUCGCAAGAAUGAAACUCAAAUGAAUUGACGGGG